UGAGGAAUAUUGGUCAAUGGACGGAAGUCUGAACCAGCCAAGUAGCGUGCAGGAUGACGGCCCUAUGGGUUGUAAACUGCUUUUGUAUGGGGAUAAAGUCAAUCACGUGUGAUUGUUUGCAGGUACCAUACGAAUAAGGACCGGCUAAUUCCGUGCCAGCAGCCGCGGUAAUACGGAAGGUCCGGGCGUUAUCCGGAUUUAUUGGGUUUAAAGGGAGCGUAGGCUGGAGAUUAAGUGUGUUGUGAAAUGUAGACGCUCAACGUCUGACUUGCAGCGCAUACUGGUUUCCUUGAGUACGCACAACGUUGGCGGAAUUCGUCGUGUAGCGGUGAAAUGCUUAGAUAUGACGAAGAACUCCGAUUGCGAAGGCAGCUGACGGGAGCGCAACUGACGCUGAAGCUCGAAGGUGCGGGUAUCGAACAGGAUUAGAUACCCUGGUAGUCCGCACAGUAAACGAUGGAUGCCCGCUGUUGGUACCUGGUAUCAGCGGCUAAGCGAAAGCAUUAAGCAUCCCACCUGGGGAGUACGCCGGCAACGGUG
This 540-nucleotide ribosomal RNA is filed under the name uncultured bacterium. RNAcentral describes it as "bacterial SSU rRNA". It matches the Rfam family "Bacterial small subunit ribosomal RNA", at positions 355 to 896 of the family's 1533-position model. The record is from RNAcentral.